This 202-nucleotide long non-coding RNA is filed under the name Carica papaya (papaya). Its description in RNAcentral is "long non-coding RNA (CPAP_LNC013199)". Lineage: Eukaryota; Viridiplantae; Streptophyta; Magnoliopsida; Brassicales; Caricaceae. The record is from RNAcentral.
CUGUAACCUUUUUAGGAAGAUUUAAAAAUAUUUUUUUAAAAACUACAAAUAAAAUAAAUUUUAAUAAUUAUUUAAAUUCAAUAAAUAUGAUAACUCAAAAAUAUUAAAUUUCAUCCAGAAAUUAAAGCGUGAAAAUUUAAAAAGUUCAAAUGGCCUUAGGGCGUGAAUAAAUAGAGGUUCACAAUACAAAUUAAACAUGAGG